AUUGAACGCUGGCGGCAUGCCUUACACUUGCAAGUCGAACGGCAGCACGGGUGCUUGCACCUGGUGGCGAGUGGCGAACGGGUGAGUAAUACAUCGGAACAUGUCCUGUAGUGGGGGAUAGCCCGGCGAAAGCCGGAUUAAUACCGCAUACGAUCUACGGAUGAAAGCGGGGGACCUUCGGGCCUCGCGCUAUAGGGUUGGCCGAUGGCUGAUUAGCUAGUUGGUGGGGUAAAGGCCUACCAAGGCGACGAUCAGUAGCUGGUCUGAGAGGACGACCAGCCACACUGGGACUGAGACACGGCCCAGACUCCUACGGGAGGCAGCAGUGGGGAAUUUUGGACAAUGGGCGAAAGCCUGAUCCAGCAAUGCCGCGUGUGUGAAGAAGGCCUUCGGGUUGUAAAGCACUUUUGUCCGGAAAGAAAUCCUUGGCCCUAAUACGGUCGGGGGAUGACGGUACCGGAAGAAUAAGCACCGGCUAACUACGUG
RNAcentral lists this ribosomal RNA (486 nucleotides) under uncultured bacterium. Its description in RNAcentral is "partial 16S ribosomal RNA". It matches the Rfam family "Bacterial small subunit ribosomal RNA", at positions 30 to 507 of the family's 1533-position model. The record is from RNAcentral.